RNAcentral lists this non-coding RNA (47 nucleotides) under unclassified sequences. The record is from RNAcentral.
UGGGGCCUGACUGCGGCCGCCCCGUCAGGCAAUCGCCCAAGUGCCGA